UACGUAGGGUGCAAGCGUUGUCCGGAAUUAUUGGGCGUAAAGAGCUCGUAGGCGGUCUGUCGCGUCUGCUGUGAAAACUCGGGGCUUAACCCCGGGCCUGCAGCCGAUACGGGCAAGCUAGAAUUCGGUAGGGGAGACUGGAAUUCCUGGUGUAGCGGUGAAAUGCGCAGAUAUCAGGAGGAACACCGGUGGCGAAGGCGGGUCUCUGGGCCGAAAUUGACGCUGAGGAGCGAAAGCGUGGGGAGCAAACAGG
This 253-nucleotide ribosomal RNA is filed under the name uncultured bacterium. Its description in RNAcentral is "partial 16S ribosomal RNA". It matches the Rfam family "Bacterial small subunit ribosomal RNA", at positions 524 to 776 of the family's 1533-position model. The record is from RNAcentral.